Molecule: ribosomal RNA, 348 nt
Filed under: Rhipicephalus linnaei
Lineage: Eukaryota; Metazoa; Arthropoda; Arachnida; Ixodida; Ixodidae
Description: Rhipicephalus sanguineus sensu lato 'tropical lineage' partial 16S ribosomal RNA
Source: RNAcentral
AAAAUAAUAAUUUUAAAAUAAAAAAUUUAUUAGUUUCUGCUCAAUGAUUUUUUAAAUUGCUGUGGUAUUUUGACUAUACAAAGGUAUUGAAAUAAGAUUUUAAUUGAAUGCUAAGAGAAUGGAAGUCCAGAAAAAAACUUUUUUUAAAUUAAAAAUUGAAGUUUUUUUAAUUUGUGCAGAAACAAUUAUUUAUAUUAAAGACAAGAAGACCCUAUGAAUUUAUUAAAUUUUUAUUUAAUAUGUAAUUACUAUUAGAAAAAUUUUGGCUGGGGCGGCUAGAAAAUAUUAUGAACUUUUUAAAAAUAAAAUGAUCCAUUAUUAAUGAUUUUAUGUUAAAUACUCUAGGGA